GUUGCAAGGUCUUUAGCAUCUUGAAGACAGUUACAGGUAUUAGUACUCCCUGCUGUUAUGAUAAAUUGUUAGUUGAAGGAUGAAGCUUGAUUCUAAUAUGUCUAAGUAUUCAAAUGCAGAACUUUUGCCUUACAAUUCCAAGAAUUCUGGGAGGUCAAUCUUUCUCUUGCUCUUUCUUGCGGUGCCUUUUGAGAUUCUUCACUAAAAAAUCACUGGACAUUUAGUUGCAACAGGUGUGAAAUAGUGAGGGAGGGGUAUCGAGAUGUAGUAGUAUUUUAAUUUUGUUGUAUGAAAAUAUUUGAUGUUUAGACUUCUCUUUUUGCAUUGUUCUGUAGCAUAUGAUAUUUGGAACAUGUUAUCUCUAUUUCUGGAAUAGGCCGGGUCAAGCCUAACAGCAUCAAGGAAGCAUAUGAAAGCUGGUGUUCCUGGGAAAUUGAAAAAUCCAUCUAAAAGGUUUGGGAAAUGGUAUCUGCUGCUAUAUUUUGGGGGCACUGGAAUGAACGGAAUUGUAGAUGUUUUGAUGAGAUUUUAACACCUACACAUGUACUCAAAGCAAAAUGCUUUAGUGAUUGAAUAGUUAUGUUGUGUAUAUGAGCAGGCAUUAUCUCCCUCUCUUGUAAUUUUUGCUUGCAUCUUCUGGAUGCCUUUAAUGAAUUACCCCUUACUUCAUGAAAAAAGUAUUGCAAGGUCAAAGCGAAAAUCCCCAAAAAACAUUCUUCUUUGUUGAUCUGAGUUGCUCAUCCUGAUGCUGUAGUUGUUUUGGAGGAGAUCAGCUGAAGAUCAGCUGAGUGCAAACUACAUCUUCUUGGCGCAUGGACAAAAAACAAAUUGCUUCAUUAUACUUAAUUAUUUGGGCUUAAAGACAUAGUUUCAUGAUGUUUAACCAUUUUCUUAAUUUUGUCCAAAUCUUGCAGACUCUACUGGAGAUAAAGAGAAGGAACUCUUUCAUACCAUGGUCUGCUGUGGCUGUAAAAAGUUAAACUCUAUGCAUGAAGUUGUCAUUUGCAUAAUGAUACACAUAGUAUUUCAGGGCAUGGAGAACUUAUUAACAAUGGUUUGUGAUUUCUACUUCACCUCUAUUUUUAUGUCUAUCUUCAUUUUAACUUCCUAUUUUCUGAAAUUCUGUGCAUGUUAAUGAGCAAUUGUUUGUAAUCAUCAAUUUAUAUGUGAAACUCUAGGAUGUCCUAUGGCUGUGAGUUAAAGAAAUGAAAUUUGGCUCUCAAUGAGUAUAAAGUGAAAUCUUAUUGUUGCCCUUUGGUUAUAUUUUGAUAAUUAGUACUGUUGGUUAUAAUGAGGAUUACUAUAAACUGGCAUGUCAAUGUUCAUUUAUCUUUUUCUCGAUACGCUCACUGCUGCCAUUGACAUUUAUCAAGUUAGGUGUCUAUGUUACAUAUCUAUUGCUUGAACCCCAAAAUUUUACAAAAAAAAAACCCUUAUUUGUUCGACCAUCUUUGUUAGCUGUUAUUUCUAUUUCAACUUGUGGUUUGACUCAAUAACAAGAAAAAGAAGCAUUAUUGGUGCCUUAUUUGUUGGAACAAAUGACUCACAAAUUAACGUGAACAAAGUUAGGAAGAAUAGGAAGUGGACAUAUGCUUAUUUGCAAUGUAUGUUCAACCUAAAAUCUUAUAUAUAUGUUAAGAGACUAAGUUAAUUUUAACAUCUGGAUUACAGUUUCAUUGGUAAUUUUAGGAUAAAGCUUCAUUCUGUAUGAUAAUAUUUUUGUUUUAAAAAGGGCCACUAAAAGCAAAAUCAGAAAAUAUAUGCAGUAGACAUCAAAGAGGUAGUAACAGCUUAAACUAAGUAAUAUUUUUUCUUGAAACUAAAACCAAUAUUGUUCUUGAAAAGUAUAUUCUAAAAUUUUCUAAUUUUAAAGUAAUAACAUCUUUGUUGUCUAUAUGCACUUUCUUUUUAAGGAGGAGGAGAUUUAACAGCCUGUUUAGGUUGCUGCUACCAUAAUUUUUUUUCUUUAUGCUUCGCCGGAGUGUUCAAUGCUGCCAGUAGGGAUGGUGGAAGUGGCGGUGGUUAGUAGGAUUGACAGCUUUAAAGAGGUGAUGAUGAUUUUGUCAAUGCUAUUUCGAUACCUUGUCAAGUUUCACAUGUCUAUUUUAGUGGAUGCUUUUAAGAAUAUAACAGUAGAAGUAUAUACCGGAUUGUUGCACCAGAUAAUCUUAUUUAAAGAAUUUCAAGGCAUUGAAGUACCACCUAGCUACCACUUAUGCUAAGAUCCAGAGGAGAACUAUCUUUGGAUUACACUCUAGCCCUUUUCCCAGACACUUGAUCUCUUAUGUUGUUGAUGAAGCAUUGAAGAUGAAAAUCCUUAGUGAAAUGUCUCUUUUGUUUUGUUUUUUUUCUUCUUUUCAAAUUAGUGCAGAGAUGAGGAUAGUUCAAUGAAAGAUAAGAUGACCAAGUUGAUGAUUAGUUGAAAGAUUCA
RNAcentral lists this long non-coding RNA (2431 nucleotides) under Solanum tuberosum (potato). Its description in RNAcentral is "long non-coding RNA (STUB_LNC003921)". The record is from RNAcentral. Lineage: Eukaryota; Viridiplantae; Streptophyta; Magnoliopsida; Solanales; Solanaceae.